UAGGUGCACUGGGACAAGAGAGGCAAGCAACUUUCAAUGUGCCAAAUGCCAGAGGCAAAUUAUAAGUAAAGGUGAGGAUCCAAAAGCAAUGUCUUAUCAACAUUCUUCUUCUUCUUUCAUUGUAUACUUUUAGGACAGACUCUGCUGAAACAUUUUAAAUCUAUCAUCUAUGUGCAUCAAGACAUUUCUUCAAUAACAGUUUUCUUGAUGUGCCUUCUUCAGUAGCCAUGAUUCCACUGAAUUUCUGAAUCAGUGCAUGGCUUAACAUUCAGCAUCAUUAGCAUGACACUUUUUGCUUAUCUUAAUAGGUUGAAUAUAGAAAGAAGUGAAAUUAAAUAAAUAUUAAGAUGAUGUUUUCACCUUUCUCUUUCAACCCUCAUACCCAGUUUAAAACUUAUGGAAUCGAUCUUGCGGAUUUUGUUUUGAAUCUUAUCUCACAAGCCUUUAAAAUUGGACAAAGCUGUAUUGGAACUUUUGAAUGAAUUUUUGCUUGCUUGCUUGCUUGCUUGUUUGUUUGUUUUAAAAAAGAAUUGGCUUCCUUGCUUUUGUUACUGCUUGUUGGGAAUUAAAUAUUGCAGUCUAAUAAUAGUCAAUAAGGACACAAUGCAGGCUUCAACAGCAUAUCCAUCCUAUUGUGUAUGAAAUAAAUCACUUUUGUUUUCCUCUUCCCCUUGUAAUAAAUGUGAUGUUUUAUAACAAUUCAUUUUGAAAGCAACAGGUUUGCAGCUCAGUCUAAAGAUAAUUAAAAAAACAAAUGAACUUGGUUGAAUCAAAAUUAGUCCCAUUGACAUAAGUGAGAGUAAAUCGCAUUGACUUCCCCAGAACUUGCAUCCUUAUUCAAUAUAUCAUUGCAUCUGCCUACAGUGUCAAUAUAAUAUUGUCACAAUGCUGCUGUUGUUUGUUCACAGAAUGAUGGUGCAGCACCAAGCCACAAGUUUUGGCUUUAAAAUACGAUGAAACUCAAGUGUCUUGGUACAAGUUGUUGACUCAGGGCUAGUUUUGUUGGGUGCUAUACUUUCACAUCUGUUGCAUUCUGAGUGAUGGGCCCAGGAGACAAAACUUCUGUUCUUCAGAAAGAGUUCAACUGCUUUAAAAUAAGCUUGGACUAUGAAAAAGCACUAACAAUGUGCAAAUCUCAUUUGUUUAGUAACUUUAAUAGAUUCCCCAUCAUAAUACAUUGCUUUGACAAAGUAUAUAACAAAAUAGUGCCUUUAAUCAAACACUGGGCGCUGAAAGAAUUGGAUAGUGUUGGUUCAAAGAGUGGACAGGAAAAGAGGUUCUAUUAUUAUUAUUUAAUUCAAUUUGCCUAGUGGGAUCCCUACUGUUAGUCAAAACCCAGUAUGUGUCUAAGUACAUUGACUGUAGUCUUCCUCACAGAAAAAGUAGGCUUAGCAUUCGUAAAUUUUCUUCAGGGAGGUUUCUGAUCUAGACAAGCAUUUUGUUGGGGGAUUACACUGCAAUCUGUUCCCCAUCCCCUCCUCCCUCACUUGUAGCCUUUUCAACUUCUUCAAAGAACUGGAAGAAAGUGGAUUCUUUUAUUAAUGGCAGAAAACAAACCGACUGCUGGACUUCCGUGCCAGCACUCACAUAAUGCAGCAGGGUGGGAACUGUAACAAAGAAAUCCUGAAUGCACUAAAACAUAUAGUGAAACCCUAUUUAAAUUCACUGGUGGAGCUUAGAGUAUACAAUGAGAGGAAAGUUUAAAGUAGGAAUUAAACAGGGACAUAAAAGGAAAAUAUACUCCAUUUAAGGGAAGCAUUUCCUUUAAAAGGUCAGUUCAGGGGUUGGAUUUCAAAUAUCGACAGUUUCCCCUACCUGAAUGCAUUUUUCAAGAAACUAGAUGGUAGAUAUUUGAAUCAUAACUAGCUGGGUUAAUGUUCAUAUCAGCAUGUAUACUUCUGGAACUAGUUUGUGGCAAGGUGUUUCUCAUAUUCGAAAUCCUAGUGAGAGGUGCACAUAGGUGCAGUUUUAUGGUAUUAUUUGUCCAUCCUUCCUUCGUUCCUUCCUUCCUGGUUAGUUUUUUUCUCUCUUGCCUUUUGAAAGUUUCUUGAUGGAUGGCAAUUAUUUAUUAAUACAAGAUUAUAUAAAUGGAGAAUUGAGCAUUUCCCCCAGCAUAGUCAGAAUAGAAUCCUACAAUAAAUUAACACCAGCUUAUUACACUAGUAAACUAUUUGUAUCUGGCUUCUCCUCUUUGUUCUCUACUCAAAACAAUCACUCAUCCACACUACAAUGGAUUUUUCCAUUGGUGGUGGCAGGUCUUGCACCUCUUGUUUGUGGGAAGUUUUUAUUGCAAUGAAUGAAAAAGUGGCCAAAGAUUUCAAAUCGUGAUUUUAUGGAACGAAACAAGAAACCUUGAUGGAUUCUAGGUUUCAAGAUAGUUUGAGGGUAUGCCAUUCUUCCACUGCCACCUUCUGAACUGUGAAUCAGACACACAGAGAAGGUCCUCAGAUUGCAAGCAUAGAGUCCAGGUUGGCUCAUGUGAGACGAGGCAGGCCUUGAGGUAUGGGGGUCCUCAGCUGCAUAAAGCUUGAUAGGACAAAACCAGCAUUUUUAAUUGAGCCUGGAAACAAAUCGGUAGCCAGUGCAAUCAUUCCUUAAUUGGUGUUCCAUGCUUGAACGGUUCUGCCCCAGUCAACAAUCUGACCACCAAAUUCUGCACCAGCUGCAGUUUUUCAACUGAAUAUGAUAUCCAGUUUACUUAUAUGUGCUGUCAUUUUUAUCCAUUUUUCUUUCUGUUUGCACUUAUGUCAAAAUUUGUAGUGCAUCAACUGAACACAUAUAUUUCAACAUAAUUAACAUUAGCUGGUGUUUUCUUUUUCUUUUUAAUUGAGAGACCUGAAGCAAAAAAGAAACACGUAAAAACUUCCUGUGCACGAAGUAAGUCCCAUUGAGUUCACUGAGAUUUGUAGUAAACGUGCAUAGAUGAUUGUAUUUUUGCUUUGGCUUUCAAGGGUCAUUCACAGUCAACCUUUUUAUUGGUAUUUUAGAGGUGGCUUUGGUAAUUAUUGUAUUUUGUAUUGUUAAAUUAUAGAUUUGCUAUCCACCUUGGGUUCCCUUUGAGAGUAAAGAUGAGAUAUAAACCCACUGAAAUAAAUAAAUCUACAAAUCAGUUCAUUGUAAUGUAUUUUGUGCAGUUGCUAUAACUAAUGAAAUCCUAAACUUUCAGUUACUUUUUACAAUACUUUGAUUCAUUUUCAGUUAUUUAACAGUAAUCAGUUACCAUUCUGAACAUAUUAAAUAGAUGUAUACAUAUAGUGGAAGAGCUAAUAAUUUUCAUUCUUUUUUUGGUUCUUUUAAAAAUCCAAAUUAACAGAACAAUGAUUUAUAGAGAACAUCCUGGGGAAAACUCUGAAAUCAUAAUGUACUGGAGUUACAAAUACAGAGUAUGUUAAAGCAUAUUUUCUUCUCUCUUAUAAUAACUGUUAAUUCAACUAUUUCACAAUGAAAGGAUGUAAAAUAUUAACACAAAACUAGACUAAAACAUAUGGAGAAGAAGAAAAAUUAUUUUGCUCAGUCUUCACAGCUCAGCAUGGACAGGAUUAUUUUUGGGGUUGUUGUUUUUUAACAAAUGGAAUUCUAGCUCAAGAACUCAUAAGCAGAGUGUCCAAAAGCUGAGCCAACGGACUUCCGGGUUAGCGCCAUUGGUGAAUGGCGGAGUUCCUCCGACUGGAGGAACGGGCUCCGUGAAAACUGGGUCUUCCCGCCGCGGCGAAGGUGGGGACCCGCUAGAAACCCCAGGCGGAGGAAGCCUGGGAACGUGGGGUUCGGCAGGGCACCAGAAGCGCCCCCCUACUCGCGGGGAAUCCCAUCCAGGGGCUCCGGAGCGAAGUGGGGUGAGAAGCGCGGUGCUACAAACUGACUGCUAUUUUCACGGAGUGAAGCCGCACAGCCAUUGCCAGAGAGCGCUGACUUUUUCCUGUGGACAAUUGGACUUAAAACAAGUACCCAUGAGUAGAAAUGGAAAAUUGGAUCAAGAAAUUGUUUUAAUUUGGUAACGAAGCGGGAAGGUGUAAACAGGAAGUCCGCCUUCCGUUUCUUUGUAUAUAGACUAAAGCAAAAAUUUUGCAAGCUAAAGCCGGGAAGCUGUCAAAAAAGGACUAAAUUUCCUUCAUUUAGAACCACUGAAACCCCCCUUUGACAGAUAGCUAAUGAAGAGAAACAAGUUGAUUCUAAUGUUGCUUUUCGCAUCUUAAAGAAACAAAAUAUUUGAAAAACGUUUGAAAUAUCUGAAAAAUGAAAGUAACUUUCCUUUGUCUUUAAAAAAAAAAUGGCUACAAGUAGAUUGUCUCCUCUAGAGGGAGCUUGCUAAAUUGUUGUUGCAGCAUAUUCGAGACCCAACAUCUGUGAGAUUAAGACUGUGGGAACAGAUUUUUCCGACCUUGAAUAAAGAUGAGCUGGGAUAAAGACUGGUUGCUUGCUCUACGCAAGAUAAAUGCUUUGCUGGAGCAGAUGCAUGAAAAGAUGGACUUGAUGAAUGAGAAAAUGGAUUUGACUGUUGUGGUUAAUAACAUUGAUACAGAAAUCAUCCAAGAACCAACCUAUCAAUCUGUACCGACUGGGCAAGUGCAGUUGACAAUGGAUGAGGAUGUGGCUGCACCUCAAAUAGUACAAAUGGAGAGACCCGAGGCCCUACAGGAGCAUAAGCCACUGUUAUUGAAGAUUGAAGCUGGAGUGGGCCAAGGGGAGUCUGGAGAUGAGGAGACUUCUAGCUUUGGAGAGACUCUGAAAUUUGAUUUUAAACUCAUUUUGGAUUAUAUCGAGGACUGUGGGGAGUGGGACUGUGGGAAUGGGUGAGCUGGAUGAAGGGUGAUGGAGACAAUUUUGGGUUGGAAUCCCCCAGAGACCUACUCCUCAAUGAGAAAGGAAAGAAACUAAGACAGAGACCAACAAGAGACAAGGAAAAGGGCAAACACAAACAAGAUGAAGAAGAAUUGCAGAAGGGACAUGGAAGAGAUUUAAGGGCCUCGGACAUAAGGCUUCCAGGUUGAUGGACUAGACGGAAUGGACAAUAAGGACAAUAAGGACUGACAUGACCCAAGACCAGGAAGAAGAGACGCUGGAUGAUGACAAUAAGGACUGACAUGACCCAAGACCAGGAAGAAGAGACGCUGGAUGAUGAUUGGAAGAGAAUUUAUAAUGGAAACUUUUUUAUUUUAGAAUCAGCUAAUGAAUAUUAGGGAAAAUAUGGGAAUGAAACUAUACGACUCUAGCAGAAAUGAUAUUAGGAGCUAUGUAUAUCUGAAAUUUAAGAUUUAAGCUUUAAGGCACUUAGGGGUAAGAUAAGGUUAAAUAAAUUAAGGUAAUCUGAAUAAUAGAAUAUGGGGAAAGAUGGUAAGGAUUUGUUGAGUUAAUUAUUAGGUUAAAUUGUUAAGACAAAUUUCAUAACAAAAAUUGAGAAAGAUGGAAAGAAUUUGCUGAAAUAAUUACUAAACUAGAAUACAAAAACGGAGGUGUGAGGAGGUCAAUGAAACAAGCAAAUGGAAAUUAUGGAUAUGCAAUUUGGGAUUUGUGUUUCUUUUUUCUUUUUUCUUCUUUUUUUCUUUUUUUAUUGCUGUAUUGUUAUAUUGGUUUUCACAUUUUGUGCUUUUCUCUUUUUUUAUUGUCUUCUUUUUCUUUUUUUCUUUUUGUGUAUUGUAGUGUUGUUUACUAUUUUUUAUUUUUCUUGUAAUUUUG
Molecule: non-coding RNA, 5673 nt
Organism: Podarcis lilfordi (Lilford's wall lizard)
Lineage: Eukaryota; Metazoa; Chordata; Lepidosauria; Squamata; Lacertidae
Source: the annotation of a GenBank genome assembly